UGGGGAAUAUUGCACAAUGGGGGAAACCCUGAUGCAGCGACGCCGCGUGAGCGAUGAAGUAUUUCGGUAUGUAAAGCUCUAUCAGCAAGGAAGAUAAUGACGGUACUUGACUAAGAAGCUCCGGCUAAAUACGUGCCAGCAGCCGCGGUAAUACGUAUGGAGCAAGCGUUAUCCGGAUUUACUGGGUGUAAAGGGAGCGUAGACGGUCGGGCAAGUCUGAUGUGAAAGCCCGGGGCUCAACCCCGGAACUGCAUUGGAAACUGUUUGACUAGAGUGCAGGAGAGGUAAGCGGAAUUCCUAGUGUAGCGGUGAAAUGCGUAGAUAUUAGGAGGAACACCAGUGGCGAAGGCGGCUUACUGGACUGUAACUGACGUUGAGGCUCGAAAGCGUGGGGAGCAAACAGG
This 404-nucleotide ribosomal RNA is filed under the name uncultured bacterium. RNAcentral describes it as "bacterial SSU rRNA". It matches the Rfam family "Bacterial small subunit ribosomal RNA", at positions 355 to 776 of the family's 1533-position model. The record is from RNAcentral.